CAGAGAGGUGUGUGGCCACUUGGAGGCACCAGGUAGACCUCUCACUCAAACCCUUGCAGUCUAUUUUUUUUAACAUUGCACCUACCCCAAAAUGUUCAUGAAUAUUCUUAUGUUACUGACGGGUAUCCACAGUAUUUUCAGAUGUUGUUAUUGACAAAUGCUGCAAAAACUACAGUAAAUGUAAAAGGCACACGAAAUCACCAGUUCUUGUGUCAGGUGAAGGGUUGAGUCCUCACCACUGUAAUGUUUGGAUUCAGUCUUAUGUCAGGUGAAGGGUUGAGUCCUCACCACUGUAAUGUUUGGAUUCAGUCUUAUGUCAGGUGAAGGGUUGAGUCCUCACCACUGUAAUGUUUGGAUUCAGUCUUGUGUCAGGUGAAGCGUUGAGUCCUCACCACUGUAAUGUUUGGAUUCAGUCUUGUGUCAGGUGAAGCGUCGAGUCCUCACCUUUGGUCUGAUAAUUUCCCCAUGUUCUCCAAAUUGUUGUCUUUUAAUUGCUACCAUGGGCAUAUGCUUAUUAUAUUUCUUCUGUUAGAAACAUUUCCAUCUGGCCCAAUCUACACAGGACAAUUUCCACCAGUCUAAAGGGUUGAACCAACUUUGUAUUUUUCCCCAGAACAAUCACAUGAUGUCAUUUCAUCUUGUUUAUAAAAAAAAAAAAAAAAAAACAUUAUGUAAAAGUACGAUGUCAAAAAUGCCUAUCUUCUCCCUUGGAUUGAACUGUAGCCUAGUUGCAUAACGUAGAGUACUAACCUGUGGUCCACGGUGGUACUGCAGGUGAUCAGCUAAUGUUAUUUUAAUUUGAUUUUUUUACCAGUUGGGAGUGUACAAAACAUUAAGGAUCCC
Molecule: long non-coding RNA, 843 nt
Filed under: Salmo salar (Atlantic salmon)
Lineage: Eukaryota; Metazoa; Chordata; Actinopteri; Salmoniformes; Salmonidae
Description: lncRNA (ENSSSAG00000117226.1)
Source: RNAcentral